Molecule: transfer RNA, 84 nt
Filed under: Dermacentor silvarum
Lineage: Eukaryota; Metazoa; Arthropoda; Arachnida; Ixodida; Ixodidae
Description: transfer RNA leucine (anticodon CAG)
Rfam family: tRNA
About the family: Transfer RNA (tRNA) molecules are approximately 80 nucleotides in length.
Source: RNAcentral
GUCAGGAUGGCCGAGCGGUCCAAGGCGCUGCGUUCAGGUCGCAGUCCGGUCUUCCGGGCGUGGGUUCGAAUCCCACUUCUUACA